UACGUAGGGGGCAAGCGUUGUCCGGAAUUACUGGGUGUAAAGGGCGUGUAGGCGGGGUAUUAAGUCAGAUGUGAAAGGCGCAGGCUCAACUUGCGAACUGCAUCUGAAACUAAUACUCUUGAGUGUAGGAGGGGAAAGCGGAAUUCCCAGUGUAGCAGUGAAAUGCGUAGAGAUUGGGAGGAACACCAGUGGCGAAGGCGGCUUUCUGGACUGUAACUGACGCUGAGGCGCG
RNAcentral lists this ribosomal RNA (232 nucleotides) under uncultured bacterium. RNAcentral's name for it is "partial 16S ribosomal RNA". It matches the Rfam family "Bacterial small subunit ribosomal RNA", at positions 524 to 755 of the family's 1533-position model. The record is from RNAcentral.